RNAcentral lists this ribosomal RNA (265 nucleotides) under uncultured archaeon. Its description in RNAcentral is "partial 16S ribosomal RNA". It matches the Rfam family "Archaeal small subunit ribosomal RNA", at positions 714 to 982 of the family's 1478-position model. The record is from RNAcentral.
AGACGUCUACAUUAGAUACCCCCGUAGUCCUAGCCGUAAACGAUACUCGCUAGGUGUCGGCCACGGUGCGACCGUUGUCGGUACCGUAGGGAAGCCGUGAAGCGAGCCACCUGGGAAGUACGGCCGCAAGGCUGAAACUUAAAGGAAUUGGCGGGGGAGCACCACAACGGGUGGAGCUUGCGGUUUAAUUGGAUUCAACGCCGGAAAUCUUACCGGGACCGACAGCAACAUGAAGGCCAGGCUGAAGACUUUGCCGGAUUAGCUG